UGAGUAAUACAUCGGAACCGUACCCGUAGGUGGGGAUAACCCGGCGAAAGCCGGACUAAUACCGCAUACGCUCUACGGAGGAAAGUGGGGGACCCCAAGGGCCUCACGCCAUGGGAGCGGCCGAUGUCCGAUUAGCUUGUUGGUGAGGUAAAGGCUCACCAAGGCUACGACGGGUAGCUGGUCUGAGAGGACGGCCAGCCGGAUUGGGACUGAGAUACGGCCCAG
This 225-nucleotide ribosomal RNA is filed under the name uncultured bacterium. RNAcentral describes it as "partial 16S ribosomal RNA". It matches the Rfam family "Bacterial small subunit ribosomal RNA", at positions 107 to 334 of the family's 1533-position model. The record is from RNAcentral.